RNAcentral lists this unclassified non-coding RNA (2268 nucleotides) under Dimorphilus gyrociliatus. RNAcentral describes it as "dgyrCDS8639". The record is from RNAcentral. Lineage: Eukaryota; Metazoa; Annelida; Polychaeta; Dinophilidae.
AUUACUUCAUCGAGCAGUUACUGAAACAACAUGUCAAGUAUACUCUUAAUUCUAUCUUUAUACCUGGUAGCAGUAUCAGCAUUACCUAAAAAACUUCAAUGUAUACAAACUAAGGGAGAAAAAACUGGAGAAAACUGUUGCAUUAGAAAGAACGAAUGUGGAUGUGGAGUAUUUAAUUGUGGUACACCAAGAAGACAAGGAAAUGAUUUUGGGUCACACAGCGAAAGUUAUGCAAAAUCUCAAGACGAACACUCAGAAGACAAAGAGGAAAACCAAGAAGAAGAUCUAUACGAUCUGUGGGAUCCUGCACUUUUCGAAACUGGGCUUGAAGAAUGACUAAAGCGUCGAGGACGUCCAGAAUAUAAUAUGUGUUUACAACCUCUUGUUAUAAUUAAUCAUUUGGCCGAUUAGAUAUCUAAUGAGCACUUUGAUAUUCAAUUUUCUUUGCCUCGUUUUUGUACAUAGCUUUUAAAAUUUUAUAACAGGUACACAUAUUAGAAAUCAAUAGCAAAAAGGUAUUCUUUUCUUUCAUGUUAAAAAUUCUAAAUGCUUUGAAAGACCGCUUUUUUUAUGGUGACAAGGAUAAAAAUCACAAUAUCUUGCUAACGAUGUUGUGGUAAAUGAGAGAACGAUAAGUGAAUUUAUAAAACUAUAAUUAUAUCGUGCAUUAGCUACGCACAUGGCAUCAUAUUCUAUCAUUUCCAUUAACAACCUAAUUAUGCAUAACAAAUUUUAGAUAACUCCCAACAACUAGACCAAAAUUGCGAAUCGUUAAUCAAACACAAGACUUUCUACUCCAAGUUAAAAGCUAGGAAAACAAUAAUAUGACAAACAACUGAUAAAAUAGCACUCAACUGAUAAGAUUAACUGACUCUAUAGGGAUUUGGAAAGCUGAUAAACUUUCAGCUACCAUUUCGCUUACGAAAUUCGCUUAGGAAUAUAGAAAGCGGAUUAAUGCGAUUAACGAUAAAACGAUUGACAAACUCAACAGUCUUGGCAGCCCGCCAAGUGUUAAUAACAAACUUACGGCAGAGUGAAACGUAAGAGCAAGAGUUGAUGGUGCGUUACUUUUACAACAGAAAACGGUUUCUUUUUAUUCUUCUCACUUUCAACAAGAUAUGAGCAUUCAAUUUUUCACAAAGAGUAAGUUUUAUCUUAUAAAACUUGAUAUAGAACUUAUUUUCAAAGGUCAGUUUAAUCAUUGUUAAACAUGAAGAUACUUGCAUUGGUAUUGUUUAUAUCUUUAUACUGUGCACUGGGUAUUUGGUAAAGUAUAAUGUAUACAAAGAACCUUUAAUUUCCGUAAUUCGAUAUACAUUAUACAAUAAUACAUGAUUUUACAAUUAUCCUUCUUUUUAUCUGUUUAAUGGUAGUUUGAAUGACGAAUUAAAUUCAACGAUUGAGAAGAUAUUCAAUCUGUUCUUACUUUUAAAUUAAGAUACGACGCCAUCUAUUGCUUUUUUUUAAGUAAUGUCCUUUGACACUCGGAAUUAUCUAGGGUAUUUUGCUAUUAAACGAAUUUGUAUAUUAAUUUUUUGUAGAGAGAAAAGUAUCCUUUCUGAAGUUAAAUGUACUUAAACGUUUUGUAUAAGUACUAAUACAAUUGAACUUACCGAAAAGGGAGAGUAGAGAGAAUGUGGCAGAACAUUACCAAAAGGAUGCUGAUGAAAAUGUGGAAAAUAAGUAGCAAGUUGCUGCUCCUGUAGAGCUAAGAAUCGAGAAUUUAAUUCCUGUUGAAGAAAAUCGACUCCUUGAGAAGACUUUUGCCUAUCCGAUACAGACAGCAUGCUGCCUCGACUUAGACUGGAAUUCGUAGAGAAAAUGGUGGUAACUAUUCGUUAGUCAUCAACCAAUCAGCGUCGUUCUUUUGUUACACGUCCACUCACUUAGAGGUGCUAGAUAUUGGCGGCUCGCGGCGAAACUAUCGAUAAGGGGGCGCCGGUUGAUCGAGCCCUAACGUAAGUUAUGUAAUUUACGUCGUUUACGGCUGCAGUACGAGAUUUAUACAUCAGUCGCUGGGGAAAUCAGACGCGUCUCUAAAUCAAUUUAACAGCCUAUUGGUGCAAAUGGCAGCAGUCACGCUUUUUUUCCUUCUCCGAAAUUUGACGUCUUAGGUUACGUACUAAGUAACAAAUAACUGAAUUAUGCAAGUGUUUACAAUGGAGCAGAAGUCUUUGGGGCUAUCCUAAAGAAUUUACAGUUAGCUGUAGCAGAAUAACAGCAAGGCAUAGAAUAUCCAGAAAUGAUUGUUUAUAUUUUAUAGUGCAU